UGCCAGCCGCGCGGUAAUACGGAGGGUGCAAGCGUUAAUCGGAAUUACUGGGCGUAAAGCGCACGCAGGCGGUUUGUUAAGUCAGAUGUGAAAUCCCCGGGCUCAACCUGGGAACUGCAUCUGAUACUGGCAAGCUUGAGUCUCGUAGAGGGGGGUAGAAUUCCAGGUGUAGCGGUGAAAUGCGUAGAGAUCUGGAGGAAUACCGGUGGCGAAGGCGGCCCCCUGGACGAAGACUGACGCUCAGGUGCGAAAGCGUGGGGAGCAAACAGG
RNAcentral lists this ribosomal RNA (270 nucleotides) under uncultured prokaryote. RNAcentral's name for it is "partial 16S ribosomal RNA". It matches the Rfam family "Bacterial small subunit ribosomal RNA", at positions 506 to 776 of the family's 1533-position model. The record is from RNAcentral.